This is a small nucleolar RNA of Setaria italica (foxtail millet), 113 nucleotides long. It matches the Rfam family "Small nucleolar RNA snoR104". The record is from Rfam. Lineage: Eukaryota; Viridiplantae; Streptophyta; Magnoliopsida; Poales; Poaceae.
AGGGAGGAUGUUAAAGUUAACAUUCCUGCCUGAUGCCAUCUUCCUAGAUUGAAUCUGUCAUUUUUGCGCUCGCUGAACGUUUAGACUGUUCUCAAAAUGGUUCAUGUAAUGUU